RNAcentral lists this ribosomal RNA (163 nucleotides) under uncultured Paraliobacillus sp. RNAcentral's name for it is "partial 16S ribosomal RNA". It matches the Rfam family "Bacterial small subunit ribosomal RNA", at positions 367 to 528 of the family's 1533-position model. Lineage: Bacteria; Bacillati; Bacillota; Bacilli; Caryophanales; Bacillaceae. The record is from RNAcentral.
UCCAGGAGAAGUCUGAGGAGCACGCCGCGUGAACGAUGAAGGUUUCGGAUCGUAAAGUUCUGUUGUUAGGGAAGAACAAGUACCGUUCUAAUAGGGCGGUACCUUGACGGUACCUAACCAGAAAGCCCCGGCUAACUACGUGCCAGCAGCCGCGGUAAUACGA